CCUACGGGAGGCAGCAGUGAGGAAUAUUGGUCAAUGGCCGGAAGGCUGAACCAGCCAAGCCGCGUGAAGGACGAAGGUGCCAAGCAUUGUAAACUUCUUUUGUCAAGGGACAAAAUCAGGCUCGAGAGCCUGACCGAGGGUACUUUAAGAAAAAGCAUCGGCUAACUCCGUGCCAGCAGCCGCGGUAAUACGGAGGAUGCGAGCGUUAUACGGAUUGAUUGGGUUUAACGGGUGCGUAGGCGGACUGUUAAGUCAGCGGUAAAAGCCCGGGGUGCAACCCCGGCGAGCCGUUGAAACUGGCGGUCUUGAGAUGUCGAGAGGAAUGCGGAAUGCGCAGUGUAGCGGUGAAAUGCUUAGAGAUUGCGCAGAACUCCGAUUGCGAAGGCAGCAUACCGGCGGCGAUCUGACGCUGAGGCACGAAAGCGUGGGUAUCGAACAGGAGUAGAUACCCCUGUAGUC
Molecule: ribosomal RNA, 459 nt
Filed under: uncultured bacterium
Lineage: Bacteria
Description: partial 16S ribosomal RNA
Rfam family: Bacterial small subunit ribosomal RNA
Source: RNAcentral